CUACGGGAGGCUCCAGUGGGGGAUAUUGCGCAAUGGGGGAAACCCUGACGCAGCAAUGCCGCGUGAAGGAAGAAGGUCUUCGGAUUGUAAACUUUUGUCUUCAGGGACGAAACAAAUGACGGUACCUGAGGAGGAAGCCACGGCUAACUACGUGCCAGCAGCCGCGGUAAUACGUAGGUGGCAAGCGUUGUCCGAAUUUACUGGGUGUAAAGGGCGUGUAGGCGGGAUUGUAGGUCAGAUGUGAAAUACCCGGGCUUAACCCGGGGGCUGCAUUUGAAACCACAGUUCUUGAGUGCUGGAGAGGGAAGCGGAAUUCCUAGUGUAGCGGUGAAAUGCGUAGAUAUUAGGAGGAACACCAGUGGCGAAGGCGGCUUUCUGGACAGUAACUGACGCUGAGGCGCGAAAGCGUGGGGAGCAAACAGGAUUAGAUACCCUUGUAGUC
RNAcentral lists this ribosomal RNA (442 nucleotides) under uncultured bacterium. RNAcentral's name for it is "partial 16S ribosomal RNA". It matches the Rfam family "Bacterial small subunit ribosomal RNA", at positions 339 to 795 of the family's 1533-position model. The record is from RNAcentral.